GAAAGGCCAAUCAAACCGGGAGAUAGCUGGUUCUCCCCGAAAGCUAUUUAGGUAGCGCCUCGUGAAUUCAUCUCCGGGGGUAGAGCACUGUUUCGGCUAGGGGGCCAUCCCGGCUUACCAACCCGAUGCAAACUGCGAAUACCGGAGAAUGUUAUCACGGGAGACACACGGCGGGUGCUAACGUCCGUCGUGAAGAGGGAAACAACCCAGACCGCCAGCUAAGGUCCCAAAGUCAUGGUUAAGUGGGAAACGAUGUGGGAAGGCCCAGACAGCCAGGAUGUUGGCUUAGAAGCAGCCAUCAUUUAAAGAAAGCGUAAUAGCUCACUGGUCGAGUCGGCCUGCGCGGAAGAUGUAACGGGGCUAAACCAUGCACCGAAGCUGCGGCAGCGAACGUAUCACCCAAGACAACUUUACGGAGUUGACGAUUGACGGAGCGAAGCGACGUCAAAGCGUUCAUUAAAGUCGAGUUGGCUUAGGGAUACGUUCGUUGGGUAGGGGAGCGUUCUGUAAGCCUGUGAAGGUGUGUCGUGAGGC
This 534-nucleotide ribosomal RNA is filed under the name Salmonella enterica subsp. enterica serovar Typhimurium. RNAcentral's name for it is "partial 23S ribosomal RNA". It matches the Rfam family "Bacterial large subunit ribosomal RNA", at positions 823 to 1269 of the family's 2925-position model. Lineage: Bacteria; Pseudomonadati; Pseudomonadota; Gammaproteobacteria; Enterobacterales; Enterobacteriaceae. The record is from RNAcentral.